GACGAACGCUGGCGGCGUGCCUAAUACAUGCAAGUAGAACGCUGAAGGAGGAGCUUGCUUCUCUGGAUGAGUUGCGAACGGGUGAGUAACGCGUAGGUAACCUGCCUGGUAGCGAGGGAUAACUAUUGGAAACGAUAGCUAAUACCGCAUAAGAGUAGAUGUUGCAUGACAUUUGCUUAAAAGGUGCAAUUGCAUCACUACCAGAUGGACCUGCGUUGUAUUAGCUAGUUGGUGGGGUAACGGCUCACCAAGGCGACGAUACAUAGCCGACCUGAGAGGGGGAUCGGCCACACUGGGACUGAGACACGGCCCAGACUCCUACGGGAGGCAGCAGUAGGGAAUCUUCGGCAAUGGACGGAAGUCUGACCGAGCAACGCCGCGUGAGUGAAGAAGGUUUUCGGAUCGUAAAGCUCUGUUGUAAGAGAAGAACGAGUGUGAGAGUGGAAAGUUCACACUGUGACGGUAUCUUACCAGAAAGGGACGGCUAACUACGUG
This 495-nucleotide ribosomal RNA is filed under the name uncultured bacterium. RNAcentral describes it as "partial 16S ribosomal RNA". It matches the Rfam family "Bacterial small subunit ribosomal RNA", at positions 28 to 507 of the family's 1533-position model. The record is from RNAcentral.